Molecule: ribosomal RNA, 440 nt
Filed under: uncultured bacterium
Lineage: Bacteria
Description: bacterial SSU rRNA
Rfam family: Bacterial small subunit ribosomal RNA
Source: RNAcentral
CUACGGGAGGCAGCAGUAGGGAAUCUUGGACAAUGGGCGCAAGCCUGAUCCAGCCAUGCCGCGUGGAUGAUGAAGGCCCUAGGGUUGUAAAAUCCUUUCGUUGGGGACGAUAAUGACGGUACCCAAAGAAGAAGCUCCGGCUAACUUCGUGCCAGCAGCCGCGGUAAUACGAAGGGGGCUAGCGUUGUUCGGAUUUACUGGGCGUAAAGCGCGUGUAGGCGGGUCGUUAAGUUGGGGGUGAAAUCCCGAGGCUCAACCUCGGAACUGCCUUCAAAACUGGCGACCUGGACCCAAGUAGAGGCAAGUGGAAUUGCGAGUGUAGAGGUGAAAUUCGUAGAUAUUCGCAGGAACACCAGUGGCGAAGGCGACUUGCUGGACUUGUGGUGACGCUGAGACGCGAAAGCGUGGGGAGCAAACAGGAUUAGAAACCCGUGUAGUCC